Molecule: ribosomal RNA, 1203 nt
Filed under: Albugo candida
Lineage: Eukaryota; Oomycota; Peronosporomycetes; Albuginales; Albuginaceae
Description: bacterial SSU rRNA
Rfam family: Eukaryotic small subunit ribosomal RNA (bases 1-368)
Source: RNAcentral
GAUGCCCUUAGAUGUUCUGGGCCGCACGCGCGCUACACUGAUGCGUUCAACGAGUUUAAAACCUUGACCGAUAGGUCUGGGUAAUCUUGUAAAUGCGCAUCGUGCUAGGGAUAGAUUGUUGCAAUUUUCAAUCUUGAACGAGGAAUUCCUAGUAAAUGCAAGUCAUCAGCUUGCGUUGAUUACGUCCCUGCCCUUUGUACACACCGCCCGUCGCACCUACCGAUUGAAUGACUCGGUGAAGAAUUGGGACUGUGAAUCUGUUUGCUUCAUUGCGAAUGGAUUUGUGGGAACUUUUUUUAACCUCGCCAUUUAGAGGAAGGUGAAGUCGUAACAAGGUUUCCGUAGGUGAACCUGCGGAAGGAUCAUUACCACACCAAAAACUAUCCACGUGAACCACUUUGUAUAGGUUUUUUGUCGCCAUAUGCAACGCUUCUUCGAGGAGUGUUUGUGUAUGUGUGGGCUAACCGAAGGCUUUUGACCGUAAGGUUGGAAGCUGAUGUUUUUUCUCACCCUUUACCUCAAUAUGAAUUUCGCAAGAACGAAAGUUUUUGCGUUUACUUCCACAAACUUUCAGCAGUGGAUGUCUAGGCUCGCACAUCGAUGAAGAACGCUGCGAACUGCGAUACGUAAUGCGAAUUGCAGGAUUCAGUGAGUCAUCGAAAUUUUGAACGCAUAUUGCACUUUCGGGUUAUGCCUGGAAGUAUGCCUGUAUCAGUGUCCAUAUCACAAACUUGCCCUUUUUUUUGGAAAGGUGCAGAUGCUGAGGUGUCUUUUUGGAUCAAAAGAUUUGAAACGUCCCUUGAAAAGCAGACGAUACAAGGCUUUCCGUACACAUGCUUUGCGUUUGUACAUGCUUAUCAGUGCGAUCUUUCUUUUUGUGACUGGGACGUUGUACUAGUUGCUUUCCACGUUGGGUCACUCAAAUAUGCAGUCUUCAUUUGCGGUAUGUUUUGCUUCGGCUUGACACAUUAGCUCAUGAGAUUGUAUAGUUGGUUGUUCUUGUGGGUAGUACUUAGGAUAAUGGAAAGGUCAUCAAGGAGACGGAAUUGCGUACUGACAAGCUGUACCGAAGUUAAAUGCAUGGGAAAGACUUUAUCGUUAAUUGGGAAAAGGAUGCGUGUUGUUUGCUCUUCGCUCUUGAAGGAUGCACUUGCUUGCAGGUACAUUCUUUGAGAACGAGUUGUACAUGACGCAUGUCUCUCA